This is a long non-coding RNA of Bombus terrestris (buff-tailed bumblebee), 3171 nucleotides long. RefSeq lists it as uncharacterized. The record is from RefSeq and is a predicted model, not a curated record. NCBI's taxonomy places the organism in Eukaryota, Metazoa, Arthropoda, Insecta, Hymenoptera, Apidae. The transcript has 4 exons.
AAACCGAUACUUUCGUUCAUGCGGUUCUUGCACGCGUUUCUGCCACCUUGUAGCGUAACACAACGUGAUGAAAACACGCUACCGCGAAUCUACUUCAGAUUCCUCUGCAUCUUCGGUAGACAGUUACGCUUAGCAGAUGAGAAGAGGUUUCGUGAAAGGUGCUUGCCAAAGAAAAGGAAGUGCCACUUUCCUUCGAGAAGAGUGAAAGGGCUGGCAACUGAUAAUAACAAGGUCGUAUUUUAAUUGGCGCGUUCAACCGCGUGGAAAAUGUUAAUUGCCAAUUUGUCGUUGGACAAUCCUCCGGCUGGUCGUUCCUCUUUUGCUAAGGCAAGUUCGACAGAUCUUGAUCAAUCUGCGCUAAGCAACUGGUGACAAGAUCGCGUUUUGUCCGAUGCAUUCUUCCACAUUACAAUCUUACAAAUCGAUUUUCACUACGCCAUGACGUCAGAAGUGAAGCUACGUAUUGUCAUGAACGAGAACGCAAGGGCGGGAGAAAAUAAAAUGCAUAGAAUCCAUAAGAAAACCGGAAGAUGAAGGAUGUUAUGUCUUUCCUCCAAAAUAUCAAGCAAGAGAUCAUCAUCCGCGUUUACUCAGUUUAUCGAUAGUGAAGAAAGCCGCAAACAGCUUAACGAAGGUAGGCCAUUACAGAAACAUUUCAGUCACGAUAGAUGACGCGACAGCAGCGUCAUACAUCGAUACAAGUUUAAACUUCGAGUUUCGAGAUAUUUACUUAGAAGAAUCGGAGAUCAUUCCCACAAGAAAAAUAAACACCGAAACCGAAAAGCCCAAUCUUCAAAUAGAAGCAUUAUUAGAGAUCUUCCGGAAACAAAACAUGCAUGAGAGGUAAGGCACGGACUUUGAAAUAAAACAAUUUGAUGGAACGCAAAGAGCCACAGAUUGGAUAUUAGAGUAAGAAACGGAAUGCCAAAGAUACGAAAUUCAAAACGACGAAAAAAAGGAUCAAGAAUUUGAAGAAAUAUUUGGGAAAAACAGCAUCAGAAUGGUACCAGACAAAUCUGCUGAAUGAUGAAGAAUACAACUGGGAAAAUUGGAAGGCGGUAUUUCUAAAAGCUUUUAGUAAUAAAGGUUGGUCUGCAGUGCAAUACACCUAUAACUUUAAAUAUAUUUCAGGUUCAUUCACCAAAUAUGCCAUAAAACAGGACCGAUUAAUAUUGGAAGUAAGGAGGAAGACCUCCGAUGAGACCAGGACAAAUGUAAUUGUUAGUCGAUUACCCAUACACAUUCAAGAUAAAGUCUAUAAAGAAGCAGUACAAUCAACAGGUGAUCUAAUCAGACUCUUGUUGCAAUACAAAGACCACAGGAAAGGAAGAAAAAGUCAAGAGAGUAAUGCAAGAUUGAACAGAAAGCCAGAGCCGCCACGCAAGAAUCUACCGUGUGUGCUUUGUGAAGCACUGAAUUUCCCAGGCCUAUUCUACCCAAUGCAAGUAUGCAGAAACAGAAACAGAAAUGCACAGAGGAAACAAAACCAGGUAAAUUCAUUAGAAGCAUUCAUUACUUUCAUAAUGUAAUUACAUUACAGAAAGUAAUGAAUGCAAUAACAGCAGAUGAGAAUGGAAAAAACUAAAAUGCCCGGAAAAAUACGAAUCUCUGAUAAAGCUCCGAGUUAAAAUCAACGACCAGAAAGAGGUUGAAGGCUCCAAAAAAUCAUUGACCAAAUAAAGGCAGAUAUAAUAAAAGACAAGAGUAUGUUUAAGACUAUCAGUGGGAAGGACUUCACUAAUAGCUGGGCGAAACUUAGAAUGAAAAUUAAUAAAAUAGGGAAAGAAAUAAAUGUUUAUAUAGUGCAUAAUGAUAACUUCACAUAUGAUCUCAUCUUAGGACUGGACGCCAUAAGAGAGUUCAAGUUGAAAUAAGAUGAGAAUUUGAGAGUUAGUCAAAAAGUAGACAAAAAAGAAGAAAUAAUCAGAGAAGAAAGAUAAACGUUACCAAAUACAAGAAGAUGGACAACCUAGGUCACCUAAAUCACCUAUAAAAAAAAGAGAUGCAAGUGGAGAGGGCUUAGGGGCAGUUUUAAACCAAACCUCGAGGCAACGGGAUAUUACACCCAGCCGCGUACUUUUCAAGAAAAUUGAAACCAACAGAGAUAUUUCACUAUCCUUUCAGAUCAUAAACCAUUGGAAUCAAUGAGAAUCAAGGCAAGAACCUAUGAAACCUUAGGAGACCUGAUGCACUACUUGUCGCAGUACUACUUCAAGAUCAUGCUCCAGGAAAACACAACAUGGAGGCAGACACACUAUCCAUGAACCCCAUCUUAGAAAGCUUUGAGAAUGAGGAAGAUGUUUUCAAAGUAGCAAAUAUUAUAAAAAAACAAGACAUAAUCCAAGACCAAGAAGAAAACAGAGAAGAUAUUAAAAAUACAAAAGACCUUAUAAAAGAUCAGAGAUUUUUUUUGUAAAUAUUAAAGGACGCCAACCUAUAUUCAUUUCACAAGAGUUUGGUGAACAUAAAACAUAAGGAAGGUUCAUGAUUUCUUUGGUCACACUGGAAGAAACCAUAUACUGAAGAAAAUCCGACCCUUUUAUUAUUUCAAAAAGAUGGACCGAAUUGUAGACAAAUUCUGCAAACAUUGCGAAAUCCGCAUCAAGAAUAAAAGAAGAACGAGAAGACCGAUCGGGUUUAUGUCGAAACUAGGACCAAAUAAUGUCACUCGAUACGGUCGGAGAUUUUUCCAAUAACAACUCACCAAAGAAAUAAAUGCACAUACUCAUCGAUCAUAUUUCAAGGGCUGUUUUUACGUUUACAUCGAAAACACAACGCUCAGAAGAUAUCAUAAAACUCAUAGACUCGACAGGGGAAACUGAUUCCAUAAAACCCAGUAAUAACAUCCAAAGAAAUUGAAGAGUAUGCGAGAAAAAGGAACAUUAAAUUUAUUUCACCUAGACAGACUGCCCAUCCUCCAAUGGACUGAACGAAAGGGUAAAUCGAACAUUAGUAAACAGGACCAGAUGUAAGAUCAAUUCAGACAAAAAUAAAAGAAACUGGACAAAGAUCGCAGAAGAAAGCGUAGAAGAAUACAAUAACACCAGACAUAGUUUAACGGGAUUUGCCCUAAAUCAUUUACUGUAUGGAAAAAAGAUCGAAAUCGUCCCUAAGGAAAUAAUGGAAAAUAAGAUAAACUUAAAAAGAGACAGAUAAGAAGCAUUCAAAAAC